CCAGGGCUCGCUGUCCCUCGGCCGGAGGAAGCUCCGAGCGCUUCCCGGCGUGUGCUGGGCCCCACCGAGCGGCCGAGCCCCGGGGGAAGGCGGCCAGCCCCUGCCCCGCCGGGCUAAGCCAAGCUCGGGCCGUAGGACAGCGGGAAUCAGCCGUGUCCCAGGGACAGGAGACAGUGAGGGAUGGAGAGGCAAAGAUUAGGGAGGAUGAGGAAACCCCAGGAAGGCAGGAAGGGUUUCCCCCCUGGGUUUCCCAUGGCAGUGUCCCUGAUCUCUUCGAGAGAGAAUCGAGGCUGCAAAGAGAGAAACCAGAGAAGACAGAACUUGGGAAGCAGCUGAAGGAAAUUGCCUGCGGGGAGCACAUUCUCAGCACCAUCAGCGCAGCUUAUUUACACACUCGAGGGCUCUCAGCCCCACAGAGCUGCGAAAUUCAAAGCCUGCUGUGGCAUUCGGAGCAUGAACAGAAAGGGGUUCCUCUAAAGCUGAAAUAUUUGACCGCAGUUUCUAUUGCAGGUGGUGCAAGCACACGCUGGCCCAGGGAAUGGGAGCAGGAACUGUCAGCAGGAGCUGGGGAUACGCGGAGCUGGCACGGGCAGAGCAGGGCUGGGGCAGCAGGGACAGCUCGGGGGCUGGCAGGUCCCUGGGCAUCCUCCCACCACCAGCCUCGGCACUGGCACUGGAGGCAGGAGACACCCAGCAGCAUUCCCUUCCUUCCUAACAACGUGGGAAGCGCCAAGGGAGAAGGAGGGAAGAUUUGAGUUUGAAAAGGCAGAAAAGCACAGCCUCGGGACGGUGGUAAAUGGGCCACACGGUUCCCAGUGCCCUAGAAAUUCCCUGUGCGCCGCACAGCGGGGUGGCUGCUGAUGCUAUCGCUGUCCCAGCUCCAUGACUAAGGGAGCUGGAAGGUAUAAAUUAAAUAACACAACACUUCAA
Long non-coding RNA from Parus major (Great Tit), 930 nucleotides. RefSeq lists it as uncharacterized. The transcript has 2 exons. The record is from RefSeq and is a predicted model, not a curated record. Lineage: Eukaryota; Metazoa; Chordata; Aves; Passeriformes; Paridae.